Molecule: ribosomal RNA, 313 nt
Filed under: uncultured delta proteobacterium
Lineage: Bacteria; Deltaproteobacteria
Description: bacterial SSU rRNA
Rfam family: Bacterial small subunit ribosomal RNA
Source: RNAcentral
AAGCGUUGUUCGGAAUUAUUGGGCGUAAAGCGCGUGUAGGCGGUCUGUUAAGUCUGAUGUGAAAGCCCCGGGCUCAACCCGGGAAGUGCAUUGGAAACUGGCAGACUUGAGUACGGGAGAGGGUAGUGGAAUUCCGAGUGUAGGGGUGAAAUCCGUAGAUAUUCGGAGGAACACCGGUGGCGAAGGCGGCUACCUGGACCGAUACUGACGCUGAGACGCGAAAGCGUGGGGAGCAAACAGGAUUAGAUACCCUGGUAGUCCACGCCGUAAACGAUGGGUACUAGGUGUUGCGGGUAUUGACCCCUGCAGUGCC